AUUGAACGCUGGCGGCAGGCCUAACACAUGCAAGUCGAGCGAGCGGCGGACGGGUGAGAAAUGUCUGGGAAACUGCCUGAUGGAGGGGGAUAACAACUGGAAAAGGUAGCUAAUACCGCAUACCAUCAGAUGUGCCCAGAUGGGGUUAGCUCGUGGGUGGGGUAACGCCUCACCUAGGCGACGAUCCCUAUCUGGUCUGAGAGGAGGACCAGCCACACUGUAACUGAGACACGGUCCAGACUCCUACGGGAGGCAGCAGUGGGGAAUAUUGCACAAUGGGCGCAAGCCUGAUACAGCCAUGCCGCGUGUGUGAAGAAGGCCUUCGGGUUGUAAAGCACUUUCAGCGGGGAGGCGUUACCCGCAGAAGAAGCACCGGCUAACUCCGUGCCAGCAGCCGCGGUAAUAC
Molecule: ribosomal RNA, 406 nt
Filed under: uncultured bacterium
Lineage: Bacteria
Description: partial 16S ribosomal RNA
Rfam family: Bacterial small subunit ribosomal RNA
Source: RNAcentral